AAGUGGGCCCCGCGAUGCGUUUAGUGGGACCGUCGUUGACGAGGUUGACUGUUGGACCCACUUAAGUACACGUCACUUUCACGGGCCGGAGACGACGCAUAUCGCGUCACCAACGUGAUCCCGCCGGAUAACAACAAGGGAACGAAGCUUCGACGGCGCUACUCCUACCCCACCAUCGGUUUUCCCUUCUUUUCCUUUUUUUUUCUCAGCAACUCGAGUUCACCUUCGGGUCUCCACUACUUGCCGGCGUUGGGCUCUCCGCAGCUACUCCCCCAAUUUCUCCCCGGAACCCUAAUAAAAUCCCCCAAACUCCUCGCUCUCGACUCCUCCGUCGAAUCCAUUCCCUCAAGUACUCUUCUCUCUCCGUCCCUCUUCCCCCUCUCCUUCCAUCAAUCUAGGGUCGAGGUUUGGUUCCGAUCCAUCUGGACCAUCUCCUUCGGUGGGCGAAGCAUGGAUUCUGGGAGGCGGAUUGAUGUCAAUCUCCCUCCGGCGGAGAAUUCAACCCAAGAAACUUCAGGCAUCGAUGUCGGCCUCCCUCCGGGGGUGCAUUCGUCUCCAGAAAUGGAAAGAAUCGAUGUCGAUCUUGCGGAAGGGGUGAAUCUGCCCCAAGAGGUGGGAGGAAUCGAUGUCGAUCUUGCGGCAGCGGUGAAUCUGCCCCAAGAGGUGGGAGGAAUCGAUGUUUAUCUCCUUCCAGACAUGAAUUUUUUCGAUGGAAACCCCCUUCCGGUGAUGAAUUUUUCGGAAGAAAUGGGAGGGUUUGAUGACUAUUUUCCUCGAGCGGUGAAUUUUCCCCAGGAGAUGGAAAGGUUCGAUAUAAAUCUUCCUGUGAUGGUGAAUUCAUCUCCGGAGGCGGCAGGAGGAGGAGCGUUCGGCGAUCCUCUUGGUCUCUCGUUGUCAUUCAAUCCCUGCCCUGGAGCUGGAACUGAAGAUGCCCCGAGAAGAAUUGAAGUAAUUGAUGUGGAAUCCAGUGGAGAUGAGCAUGCUGCGGUUCCGAUGGAUGUCGACGUCGAAAUCUUUAAUGGAGCUGUCGAUCUAAUGACGCUCAUAGAGAGUCCAAGGACGGUAUGUGGUAUGGAGGAGAACGGUGAGGAGGAAUGGAUUGUGAAAGACGAUUGGCCGUCUUUCAGCAUUGAUCAAUUUGCUGAGAGCAACGUCGAUAAAAGCAAGAAAACAUUGCAUCCAUUGCAGAAUAGAACUGAAGAAUACUGGCCCUCAAAGGCUUGGAUGGAUUGGUGUCAGCAUCGAAGAGACCGAGACAGGAGUAUAGCGGUUGAUCUAGCUCCCAAAUUUGCCGUAUAUAGAGAUGUAUCUGGGGAUAAAGAAGAUGAGCCUGGAGCUUUAUCAUCGGAUGUUGAGCAGGAAGGGCAAGACUUGCCAGGGCCAUUCUCUGAUGCCAUGAAAAUUGUCGAGCAACGAGUGUUAUCCAGAAAGACUGAGCCUCGAGAAGCAGACAUUCUGUGGAAACCUUCAAAUGAUGGAAAGCGCAAGCUGUUGGCUCCAUCCCUGAAAGAUCUUAGCUUGAAGGUUCUUUCCAAAUACAGUGAGGAGAUCCCAUCUCUUGAAGGAAUUUAUGAUCCAGUGAAGCACUCGAUUGUCUCGGUGCUGUGCAGAUAUGGGACAAUGAAUGCUCAUGUUCUUGGUCUCUACUUGGAUGAAUCUUCCACAGAAAUACACUUAAGCAAUUGUUGUUGGGCAACAGAGGAGCAGCUUGAGAAGGCCCUCGCUGCAUGUAAAAUCGAUCAGCUGACGGUGGUGCAACUUGACAUCUGUGGGCGAUGUAUGACUGAUUAUGUAUUGGAAGCCAUGUUAGCAAAGGCACCAAAUAGUUUGCCAUCAUUAACUAGGAUAUCUCUGAAGGGUGCAUGUCGUCUUUCAGAUGAUGGAUUAACUGCGCUUGUUUCUUCGGCACCUUUGUUAAGUUCCAUAAAUUUGGGCCAAUGUACCCUUAUCACUACAGAUGGAGUCAUCAACCUAGCUGAUAAGUUGAAAUCAGUAUUGAGAGAACUGUACAUUGAUGAUUGUCAUAAUAUAGAUGUUAUGCUGAUUCUUCCUGCAUUGAAGAAGUUAGAGAAUCUAGAAGUUUUGUCAGUAGCAGGUAUACCAAAUGUUUGUGAUGCUUUUGUCCGCAAACUCCUGCCUGUUUGUGGUCGGAACAUGAAGAAGCUCGCCUUUGCUGAUUGUCGAGAAUUGACUAAUGCUGCCAUGAGAGCUAUUGGGGCAUAUUGUCAUCAGUUGUGUGCUCUCGAUCUCCGGAAGCUGCACCGUUUGAAUGAUACUACAAUGAAAUACCUAGCUGAUGGUUGUAGAUCAAUUACAAAACUCAAGCUUUGUGGCAACACAUUCAGAUGAUAUUAUCUUGAUGUAAGGCCAGUUAUGUAGAACAUGGUGCUCCCUAUAUGGUAUGCCAGAAGUUGUUGUCACUCAAAAAAGAUACUGACUUUAAUUUGUGCAUCCUAUAUAUGUAUGUAUGCACGUAAGCAAGCAUGUCUAUUGGCCAUCUGUAUUUUAUCACUAGCACACUGUUUUACCUUUAGAACCUCCAAUCGAAGAAAUUUAUUUUUUCCCUCAUAUUCCUUGGUAAACUAGCUUGGUAAAUUGCCUGCAAAACAUAAAGGUAAGGUAGAUUGCCAAUGGGUCUUAGACUUAGGUCAGCUGAUUGGCACCCACUCCUGGUGGAAGAGGUUCAGGUUCAAACCUGGAAGGUGACAUUCCUGCCAUGUCUCUUAAAAAAAAGGAGAAAAAAAAAGUAAGGAAUAUUAAGUGGUCUGAAAGGAGAUUGAUUUUUCAGUGGCUAUUUCUAUUUCAUUUGUAAUAGGUUGCUUUUCACUAUCAUUAGUAAUGAUAGGUCAAUAAGGCGGGAAAAGCAAAAUUGAGACAAUAUAUGAAUUCAUAAAAUUCCAUGGCGCUACUCAAUGUACAUCCUCCCUACUAGACUAGACAUUGAACAACAUCAUUGAGCUUAAAAGCCCCGAAACUCAAUCCAAAAUGCGAACCAAAAAUCUAUUGACAGUUGACAGAAACAGAAUUACCUUAUGUCUUUUGUGCUUCCUCCUCAGAUCUAAUUAUUUAUUGUCUUAAAAAGUUUGCUAGCUUACCUUUGUGCUUAGAGCAACACUAGUCCAUCACAGUAGAAAAGAGCAGGGGUUGUUAGAUAGCAUGCAGCAAAUUUCUUGGUCUGCAUGCAUUUAGUAUCCCAAACAAGUAGCAUUUAUCAUGAAUGUGAUGACAAGAAGUUUAUCCUCAUGCAAAAUUUUUAUCUUAUGGUCUGCCAUUAUUGCAAAGAUUGGAAAAUGUUAAGACCAUUAUUACAAUUAGGAGGUUUAGAUGUUCCUGGGACCUUUUGGCUUCUAAAUCAGUUCUUUUUACCUAUUGUAGCAUCCCCUUUUUACAGAAUAUGUGUUGUAUCUUGGAUAGGAAGGAUUGAUCCAAAGAUCAUUUACAGUGGAACAUCACCAUCAAUUGAUGCAUUAUAUUGUCAUGAUUGUGUUGAUCAAUUUGAAGUAUAGACUUUUUUGCUUUUGUUGAUGUAAUUUAUGAUGCAGUUAAGUACUUUCCAACAAAAUGUACUCUUGAGUAUUUACAGUAGUAUAUUAUUCAGCAUAUAUAUUAACAUAUGCAUUAUCUUUUUAAUUGUAUUUGUGUUGUUUUUUGGGUAUUGAAAUUUUUAAUCGCUUUGGGGCACCACAAGACUUGCCAUGUCCAAUUAACGCCAGUUGUGAUUGGCAUUAUUCAUUUUCAUUUAUGGUUUCACUGCAUAUGUGAGAAUUUAUCAUUGCAUUCUUAAAGAAUCUUGCUUGUGACAGAAUAAUUUUUGCCUCGUUGUUUCAGCAUCUCGCCACCUAGUGUUUUCUGUUCUAUAUCAAUCCCCUAUGUACUCCUUUCUUAACUGGUUCAGUUAAUGAUUGAUAAGUUGAAAGGCAAUUGUAUGACUUCCUUUUUCUGCGAUAUUCUCAUUAUUGCUUGUGUUUUUGAUCUCUCAAUUGUAUGUGUAUCUUUGGUAGAAUUACAAAGGUUGAGGUCUAGCUAAUGAUUAUCAAUUGAUAUGUUGUUUAUCAUAGCAAAAUAGAAUUAUGUAACCGCUUUAAAAGACUAAUUCUCAGGCUCAACAUGUUAUACAUCUUUUUAUAAAUCUAUGUGAUCUUGCAAGUACUUUAAUAUGCCCUGAAUACCUUAGAUAAAUACCCUUUCAGCUGUUUAUCUUGACCUAUCAAUGCCUGAAGUUGGGCUUGAGCUUCUAAAACUUGUUGACAAUGUCCUUUAACUAUAUAUGAGAUAUUCAUGUUGAUGCUAAUGAUGCUUAUCAUGUGUUUCUUCCUUUUUUUUCUAUUUUAUUAUUUCCUGUUUUUAUUACCGUAAUGCUUGCCCUUCUUUACAAUCUACCUUGCUUCUAUUUUUCUCAGUUACCAUACAACAUACUGACAUGAGUCCUGAGGCCAGGGCAUAACAUUAAAGAUGGUUUGGGAAUUUGAUUUCAUUUUUCCCCCCCUUCUUCCUGCCAAAGAAAUGGGAGCCACUUUAUCAUAACCAGCCAGUUAAUCUUAAAUGGUUCUGAGAUACUAUUUGAAUAUAUCAUAUAUAGGAUCCUUUACACAUUAUUUUGCCUUUUUCUUUUUCUUAAGCUAGCUAAUUUCUAAUUUUGCCACAUAAAAUUGUCUUUCAUGUGACAUUUAUUUGCAGACUGCUUCAUAUUAUUGUAUAUCUGGUCCACUUGAUGCUAACUUUGUUUGCAUCCUUAGUUUUCCCAGUCUAACUAUAAAAUGUAUUUAGUCAUUCACUUCUACACCUUGCAUUGUGUGGGGUAUUAGUGGGUCUGCAACACAUUGAUGAUGUUUGAGUUUUGUCAGGAGUGCUCAUUGUGGCAAGUAAUUGUCACUUACUCUAGAACUAAUCCUCUCUCAAAUGUCAGUGACGAAGCAAUUGCUGCAUUCUUGGAAGCAUCUGGAGAGUCAUUGACUGAACUUUCACUCAAUGGUAUUAAAAAGGUUUCGCAACAAACAGCCAUAUCUAUUUCUCGCCGCUGUUAUUUGAAGUUGCAGAGUCUGGAUCUAUCCUUUUGCCGGAACAUUACGGAUGAAGCCCUUGGUUUGAUUGUUGACAGCUGCG
Molecule: non-coding RNA, 5103 nt
Organism: Phoenix dactylifera (date palm)
Lineage: Eukaryota; Viridiplantae; Streptophyta; Magnoliopsida; Arecales; Arecaceae
Source: RefSeq, a predicted model, not a curated record